AGAUUAAACUGAAGAGUUUGAUCAUGGCUCAGAUUGAACGCUGGCGGCAGGCUUAACACAUGCAAGUCGAGCGGUAACAGAU
Molecule: ribosomal RNA, 82 nt
Filed under: Oleiphilus sp. HI0130
Lineage: Bacteria; Pseudomonadati; Pseudomonadota; Gammaproteobacteria; Oceanospirillales; Oleiphilaceae
Description: partial 16S ribosomal RNA
Rfam family: Bacterial small subunit ribosomal RNA
Source: RNAcentral